AUGCAGGUGAAAGACAAAACCAUCUUCUCAAGCUCACAGGCUGUUCCAACCUCAAAAAUGAUAUUCAAGUCCGAGCCCUCAACAAGAAGGCACUUGAGGCAUCUGAAUUCGCCCUCCUUGAAGUUGAGCAUGGUCCUGGUGCAUGUAAUGUGUUGGAGCCUGACACAUCGUAACUUGGGCAGCUUGGCAAGGGCUUCCAGAUCAUCUUGGCUUAGCUGGGUGCAACUUAGAGUUACCUUGGCAAGUUUGUUGUUAUCACCUUUUGUGAACAAUGGAAGAAGACGUCCCUUCUGUGUGGUUCCCCUGAUGCUUAAACUCUCAAGCAUCUUGGGAUGGUUUUUUAAGAGAGAGGCAAUGCCAUCUGGUAACUCUUCGCUUGAUGUGGCUACCAGAACACUAGCAGUAAUUGUCAGAGAACAGAGGGACUCAUGUAGGCCACUGAUUGUAUGA
RNAcentral lists this ribosomal RNA (450 nucleotides) under Triticum aestivum (bread wheat). RNAcentral describes it as "partial small subunit ribosomal RNA". The record is from RNAcentral. Lineage: Eukaryota; Viridiplantae; Streptophyta; Magnoliopsida; Poales; Poaceae.